RNAcentral lists this ribosomal RNA (608 nucleotides) under Botryosphaeria dothidea. RNAcentral describes it as "eukaryotic LSU rRNA". The stretch from base 236 to 389 matches the Rfam family "5.8S ribosomal RNA". The record is from RNAcentral. Lineage: Eukaryota; Fungi; Ascomycota; Dothideomycetes; Botryosphaeriales; Botryosphaeriaceae.
GGAAGUAAAAGUCGUAACAAGGUUUCCGUAGGUGAACCUGCGGAAGGAUCAUUACCGAGUUGAUUCGGGCUCCGGCCCGAUCCUCCCACCCUUUGUGUACCUACCUCUGUUGCUUUGGCGGGCCGCGGUCCUCCGCGGCCGCCCCCCCCUCCCCGGGGGGUGGCCAGCGCCCGCCAGAGGACCAUCAAACUCCAGUCAGUAAACGAUGCAGUCUGAAAAACAUUUAAUAAACUAAAACUUUCAACAACGGAUCUCUUGGUUCUGGCAUCGAUGAAGAACGCAGCGAAAUGCGAUAAGUAAUGUGAAUUGCAGAAUUCAGUGAAUCAUCGAAUCUUUGAACGCACAUUGCGCCCUUUGGUAUUCCGAAGGGCAUGCCUGUUCGAGCGUCAUUACAACCCUCAAGCUCUGCUUGGUAUUGGGCACCGUCCUUUGCGGGCGCGCCUCAAAGACCUCGGCGGUGGCGUCUUGCCUCAAGCGUAGUAGAACAUACAUCUCGCUUCGGAGCGCAGGGCGUCGCCCGCCGGACGAACCUUCUGAACUUUUCUCAAGGUUGACCUCGGAUCAGGUAGGGAUACCCGCUGAACUUAAGCAUAUCAAUAAGCGGAGGA